RNAcentral lists this unclassified non-coding RNA (261 nucleotides) under plant metagenome. RNAcentral's name for it is "partial contains small subunit ribosomal RNA, internal transcribed spacer 1, and 5.8S ribosomal RNA". The record is from RNAcentral.
UUUCCGUAGGUGAACCUGCGGAAGGAUCAUUAUUGUAUAACCGAGGUGCGAGGGCUGUCGCUGACCCGAAAGGUCGUGCACGCUCGAGUGUGUCCUCUUGCAUAAUAAUCCAUCUCACCCUUUGUGCAUCACCGCGUGGGCACCCUUCGGGAUCAUCUCGGAGGGGGGCUCGCGUUUUCACACAAACCCCCCUUUUAAAAGUGUAGAAUGACCACAUUUAUGCAAUCAAUACAACUUUCAACAACGGAUCUCUUGGCUCUC